GAAAUGCGAUAAGUAAUGUGAAUUGCAGAAUUCCGUGAAUCAUCGAGUCUUUGAACGCACAUUGCGCUCUCUGGUAUUCCGGGGAGCAUGCCUGUCCGAGCGUCAUUUGCAACCCUCAAGCCCGGCUUGUGUGAUGGGCCCUGGCGUCUCGUUCGCGAGACGGGCCCGAAAGGCAGCGGCGGCGUCGACCCGAUGAGCCCGAGCGUAUGGGGACUUUUGUCACACGUUUGCGGUGCGGACCGGCGCCUGCUUGACUUUUCUGAUUAUCCAGGUUGACCUCGGAUCAGGUAGGGAUACCCGCUGAACUUAAGC
Molecule: unclassified non-coding RNA, 312 nt
Filed under: plant metagenome
Description: partial contains 5.8S ribosomal RNA, internal transcribed spacer 2, and large subunit ribosomal RNA
Rfam family: 5.8S ribosomal RNA (bases 1-105)
Source: RNAcentral